This 435-nucleotide ribosomal RNA is filed under the name uncultured Flavobacterium sp. Its description in RNAcentral is "bacterial SSU rRNA". It matches the Rfam family "Bacterial small subunit ribosomal RNA", at positions 358 to 790 of the family's 1533-position model. Lineage: Bacteria; Pseudomonadati; Bacteroidota; Flavobacteriia; Flavobacteriales; Flavobacteriaceae. The record is from RNAcentral.
GGAAUAUUGGACAAUGGGCGCAAGCCUGAUCCAGCCAUGCCGCGUGCAGGAUGACGGUCCUAUGGAUUGUAAACUGCUUUUAUACGAGAAGAAACACUACUUCGUGAAGUAGCUUGACGGUAUCGUAAGAAUAAGGAUCGGCUAACUCCGUGCCAGCAGCCGCGGUAAUACGGAGGAUCCAAGCGUUAUCCGGAAUCAUUGGGUUUAAAGGGUCCGUAGGCGGUUUAAUAAGUCAGUGGUGAAAGCCCAUCGCUCAACGGUGGAACGGCCAUUGAUACUGUUAGACUUGAAUUAUUAGGAAGUAACUAGAAUAUGUAGUGUAGCGGUGAAAUGCUUAGAGAUUACAUGGAAUACCAAUUGCGAAGGCAGGUUACUACUAAUUGAUUGACGCUGAUGGACGAAAGCGUGGGUAGCGAACAGGAUUAGAUACCCGUG